AUGCAGAUGACGCCAGUGGAUCCGCUCGAGCUUCCAAAGAGCUGGUUGAGGCGGGGCCCUCAGCCCUUCCCAGGGGCUCGGGACCCCGCGACCGCCUUGCAGGGGGAGCCCCGACGGCCCCCCGAGGCCUGGUUCGCUCGUGGCGGCGGCGAAGCCCGUGGCCGCUGCACCCAGCAGCCCGUUAGUGUUGGCUCCCACUCCUUUCUCAUCCACAACGGAAUGCCAUCUCAUGUAAAAUGUGGAAAUAUAAGGUAGACGCAGGAAGACCAGACACAGGUAGAUGAUGACUCUGUUAACACAGAAUU
Molecule: long non-coding RNA, 305 nt
Filed under: Vulpes vulpes (red fox)
Lineage: Eukaryota; Metazoa; Chordata; Mammalia; Carnivora; Canidae
Description: lncRNA (ENSVVUG00000000127.1)
Source: RNAcentral